GGAGGGUAGUGUGUACGCAGACCUUAUCCCUACCUCGUGGAGGUAGAGAUGCUGUUUUCGAAUAACUCAAAGACAAAAUGAAAAGAAGCAGUAGCAAUAAGAAGUAACAACAUCGAUAUAUAAACAACAACGGUUAAAUAAUUGAAGCAAAAGAAAUAACAGGCAAAAAUAUAGCUCUAUGAAUAGGAAAAAAGAAAAAAAAAUGAGAUAUGUCAUUAGUGUAUAAAGUACGAGACUUUUCCCAAACUAAAUGACAUGCCUGGAAUGGACGAAACAAAAGCAUCAACUUGGAAUCAAUAGAUCGGCACACGAUACUAUAUAACUGAGCAUCGAUCUUUUCCCACAACUCUUUGGCCUUUUCAUCUCCCUCACUAGCCUUUUUGGUUAAGUGAACUUGAAUACCUUGACCUUUACACCACAACUUAACAGAUGAAGCCCAAGAUAAAUAAUUUGAUCUUCCAAGUAAGGGUUCAGAAAUAAUCAUAAAGGCUGAAUUUCCAGCUCCACUAUUUUUGGAGCCAAAAACAUCUAAAUUGAGAGACAUUAUUGGAUUGAAGUGAGUUCUAAUUAACCAAAUCAAUGACCAGCUUCAACUAGUCAGAAAAAUAACUAGAAAAUUCCAAAACACCGUUCCUCCCGGGAAAAAAGGACUGUAGUUGUCGGAAAAGUUUCAAAGUGAUCGGAAUUAAAAAAAAGUAUGGGUUGGCUCUGAAUUGAUGGGCCAUUUCCACGCGCCGACGUAUGGAGUAGAUGUCGCCAGAAAAUCUGACCUCCGAAUGGCGCGUGAGAGCGCAUGAGCUGUCGGCUGCCGGAGAUUUUUGUUGGGGUUUGGUCAUCGGGGAUUGGGGGUCUGUGGUGGUGUUGGUUUUUGUACAAUACCAAGAGAAAUUGAUUUGCCGUAAAUCUGCCCUAGAAAGUCGUCGGAAAUUGACGCGCGACGACUGUCCGACUUUCCCAGAUGUGUCUCACUCACGCUGUGAUACCUUGUGAAAAAUAAUACACGGGAAAAUUAUAUUAUUGACCUAUUAACAAUGAUACAAUGAGCGCUAUAUAUAAUACAUAUUCUACUCCUACUAGGGGUGAGUGUUCGGUUCGGUUCGGUUUGAAGAUAUUCGGUUCGGUUAUUCGGUUUUGUAAAAGUAGUAACCGAAACCGAACUGAAAUAGGUUCGGUUCAGUUUGGUUUCUCUAAUUUUGGUUCGGUUUUCGGUUUGAACAUUAUCAUAUUGGGCUCCUUCUAUGUAAUAAUAGGACCGGCGAAUUUGUUGUUUUUUCCCAAAACUUCAAAAUUAUUUGAAAUAUUGUGUUUAUAAAAAAAAAAUAGACUAAACUUUGCACACUAUUAUGGAUCAUAAAAUUCAAACAUAGUGUAAAUUACAACUCUGUGUGAAAUUCUCCCGGUAUCUAUCAUAUAUGCUAUGGAAGUUUUAAUAGAGUGAAAGUCUUUAAGAUUGGGAAGUUGAUGAACUUACUUAAUUGGGUUGAGUCUUUGAUAAUUGGACCUAUGGGCUUAGCCUAUAUAUAAGUUAAAGAACCUAUAUGCUAAUAAUUCAGUUUUUCGGUUAACCGAACUAAAUAACUUAAUAACCGAAAACCGAAAUAAAAAAAAAUUUCGGUUCGGUCGGUUUAUUUAGUUCCGACCAAAAUAUUCCCACCCCUAACUCCUACUACAUAUGAGAUUAGGACUAUUUACACAUAACUAUCUAACAAGGACUAAAUACAUUGAAAUUGAUUGUCAUUUUGUAAGAGAAAAGAUACUCUCAGGAUAUAUUGUUACAAAGUUUGUGAAGUCGAGUGAUCAACUUGUAGAUAUUUUCACUGAGUCCCUUACUGGUCCUCAUAUUAGUUAUAUUUGUAACAAGCUCGGUACAUAUGAUUUAUAUGCACCAGCUUAAGGGAGAGUGUUAGAUAGUUAGCAGAAAACUAGCUAUAUAAUACUAUGUAAACAUUAUAGAAUCAGACCUCUCUAUAACAACAUCCGUAUAUAACAACACUUCACUAUAAAAGCCAAACUUUUCCGGAACCAAUUUUCAUGUUAUGUUAUAAUAUAUGUUCUAUAUAACAACACUUCGCUAUAACAUCUAAAAUUAUUCGGAACAAACAAGGCUGUUAUAGAGAAGUUUGACUGUAUAUGAGUAGGGCUAUUGUAAAAACACUCAAGACAUCAAUAAUAUAAUUUUUUUCAUUAUUUCUCACAAGUACCUUUCUUCGAAGGCUUCUCCACUUGCAUGGAUAAUUGUAUAGUUGUGGGUGGAGUUAUGUUUUUUUACUAAAAAACUGGUCAUGCACUGAGGGGUCGUUUGGUACACGGGUUAAGGUGGGAUAAGGUAAGGGAUUAGAUUUAUAUCAUGUUUGGUUGAUGGUAUAAAUUUGUCCUGGAAUUAAUUUAUACCAUCAACCAAACAUGAUAUAAAUCUAAUCCCAGACUUGAUACUGGAUAUCCCACAUUAUCCUCCCUUAUCCCAUCAAACUUGGGAUUAUUUUAUCCCACGUCCCAGGUGGGAUAAAAUAGUCCAGGGAUUAUAAUCCUGGGAUUAUUAUCCCAGGAUAACUUAGUUCGCUUACCAAAUGACCCCUGAGAGUUACUAUUGUCAAAGCAUCUAACUCGUUUACGCUCAUCAUAAUGCAGGCUUUAAAACUUUUAGGAUAGUGACAUUUACCUUAAGGGGAAUCUUGUGGUGCUUGUGAAGGAUGUACGAAUAUUUAGUAGGUUUCAUUGGCAAGCAAUGAAAACUCAUAUCCAUCUCAUUUUGGCAUGGUGCUAGGACACUUUAUGAAGGUUUUGAUGAGUAAAGAUCAGUUCUCUCUAUUCAAUAGGCAAUGAAGAGAACGACAUGGUUAGGUUGACAUGAAGUCUCCUUCAAACUGUUCAUACUAGCUCUGUGGGAUGAUUCAGCCAUAAAUUCCUUGUUUUCUAUAAAACUGCAUAAAUAAGUUGUUUGGACCUUCGAACUGUAUACCAACUGUGGAAAGAAUAAAAGAAAUAUACAUNGAAUGUUUUUGCUCGUAAGGACUGUAUUGUGCUUGAAUAUACUUUCUAUCAAGUAGCAGGGUAAUAUCUGUUAAAAUUUCUUCUUUUCCCCAUUAAAUUGUUCUCUAAGUUGAAAGAUGUUCUCUUUCCCUGUGUUGGUGUAGAAUAAGACUCUUGACAUCUAUUCUUCCCCUGUUGCAGAUUAUGUAACCUUCAGAAUUCGUUACACUAUAAACAUGAAAUGGCUCUCGAUGCUGAUGGAAGAAGACUUCUGGUGACAUCCAACUCCCUGAGAGCGCCUAUUUACCAGGUAAAUUUGUUUCACGCUGAUUGAUGUGUUUAGGUCCCUUUGCCUUGAUUGUUUCAGAGCUUAACUAUUUGUUCAUAAGCUCUAGGUUGGCCUCUAUCUGAAAAUGGAGAUCACUUGUGGGGGUCACUGAAUUUUCCCAUCAGUAAACCAAUAGGAUCUCUCUUUUAGUAGUGGUUUAUGAGUAUUUAACAAGUACUGUUGGGAAUAGCACUGCACAUAUGGUGUCAGAAGGCCUAGGAGCAGUCUUAUAAGAUGAUGUUUCAUCGGUCCUUGCUAUGCCCCCUCUUCAUUUCCAGUUACUGUUAUUUCUUGCCUUGCUGGUUUACUUCAGUUUAAAGAUUUUUUGACUAUUAAUAAUUCCUCUUAAUUGUCUUAGGUCCGCGAUCAUGCAUAUGGGAUGAGAAGUCUUCCUCACAGUGCAUCUAUAACAACAGUAGACUGGCAUCCGACGUUGCCCAUCUUCUUGACUGGAUCUGCAGAUCACUCGGUUCGGGUUACAUCUAUAGCAUGACAGCUUCUGGUUUCUCUUGUGAGUAGUUGUUUCGGAUAGUCCGAUGAAUAGAAAAUGUAAAUUUUAUUUUGUUAUCCAGUGUGUCUAUGUGGACCUUGAAAGCUAUCUGUCCAAUUUUAUGUUUCGAUUACAACCAUUAGUCUCCCCAAGAGCAAGAGGGGUUACAACCAUUUAAGUUUUGAUUACAACCAUUAGACAAGAGGGGUUGCUCUGAUGGUAAGCAACCUCCACUUCCAACCAAGAAGUUGUGAGUUCGAGUCUCCCCAAAGAGCAAGGUGGGAAGUUCUUGGAGGGAAGGAUGCCGAGUUUCUAUUGGAAACAACCUCUCUACCCCAGGGUAGGGGUAAGGUCUGCGUACACACUACCCUCCCCAGACCCCACUAAGUGGGAUUAUACUGGGUGGUUGUUGUUGUUGUUGAUUACAACCAUUAGUCAAAGGCAUUAUUGAAAGCAACAGUAGAAUAUAAAGGUGCUAGCUUGGUGUAAAUGAGGCUUACGGAAAUAUUAACAGGAAAAAAGGAUACAGAAGAAGAGAGGUCUUGCUUCAUGGACUCUUUGGGACCUUACGAUGCCGCAAAAAUCCUUCAGGCGUGGAGAUUGUGCAAUAGUGGAUCAAAUGAUUUUGCUGUAUCCAAUCAGUAUGUGUCAGCUUUGAACUAUCGGAUACAUUGACGAGGGAAUAGCGUCAAGUAAUUAAAUAUAUUGAGAAUGGUUUUAUAUUAAUUUGCUUAUUGUAUGUGUUUAUUAAGUUAGUUUCAUCAGUCAGUGUUUUGAUUGUCAUGAAAACAAAUCAACUUUUGGAGCGCUGUCUAUUAGGAGAAAUUCAAAAAUAGCCAGAUUUACAACUGGUCGUUCAAAAAUAGCCCAGUUUCAGAAGUAAUCGAAAUUUAGCCACUUUUCAUGUAAAGAUAAAUUUAAGCG
RNAcentral lists this long non-coding RNA (4712 nucleotides) under Nicotiana tabacum (common tobacco). RNAcentral's name for it is "long non-coding RNA (NTAB_LNC009526)". The record is from RNAcentral. Lineage: Eukaryota; Viridiplantae; Streptophyta; Magnoliopsida; Solanales; Solanaceae.